Molecule: ribosomal RNA, 439 nt
Filed under: uncultured bacterium
Lineage: Bacteria
Description: partial 16S ribosomal RNA
Rfam family: Bacterial small subunit ribosomal RNA
Source: RNAcentral
CUACGGGUGGCUGCAGUGAGGAAUAUUGCACAAUGGGCGAAAGCCUGAUGCAGCAACGCCGCGUGAAGGAAGACGGUUUUCGGAUUGUAAACUUCUAUCAGCUGGGAAGAAAAUGACGGUACCAGACUAAGAAGCCCCGGCUAACUAUGUGCCAGCAGCCGCGGUAAUACAUAGGGGGCAAGCGUUAUCCGGAAUUACUGGGUGUAAAGGGUACGUAGGCGGCUGAUCAAGUCAGAUGUGAAAGCCCGGAGCUCAACUCCGGGAUUGCAUUUGAAAUUGGUCGGCUAGAGUGCAGGAGAGGUAAGUGGAAUUCCUAGUGUAGCGGUGAAAUGCGUAGAUAUUAGGAAGAACACCAGUGGCGAAGGCGGCUUACUGGACUGUAACUGACGCUGAGGUACGAAAGCGUGGGGAGCGAACAGGAUUAGAUACCCUAGUAGUC